AAGUGUGCAGGAUUAAUUACGAUAGCAGUAAGGCGUAAAGCUGAUGAUGGGUCGGAGUUGAAGAUUCGGAUGAUGUAUCGGGAGCUCGCCGAGAGCUCAUCUAAAGAUCGUCGAGAGUUCGUCAGAAGAUCGUCGAGAGUUCAUAUGAAGAUCUCCAAGAUUUCGUUGGGAGUUCGCCGAAAGCAUGGUGGAAGACUCGCUGAGAAGUUCGCUGGAGGAUCGCCGAGAGAAAAAUCGACAUAAUGGACUAAUUGCUUGCCUUAAUCGUAGUUAGAACUUUAAUUGAGUUAGGAUUGGGAGGUGAUCCUACUAACUCAGUUAGGGGCCAAAUGGGCCCUUAACAGGGCUGAAUUGGGCUGGAUUGGACAGCCCAUUCAACACCUAACACCACAGCCAGCGAUGGCAUCGCCUGGUGACCCAGUCUCCCAAGUGGUCUGGGCGGUGGUAUCGUCGACAGUUAAUGUUAUCAGGCGAUGGUACCGUCAACAGUUAAUGUAAUCAGGCGGUGGUAUCUCCAAUCCCUUGAAAUCCGGGGAUAUAACACUUUUUGUCUCCAAUUUUAAAGUCAUUGAGGCCUAUAAAUACCCCAUCCUUUUCUGCAUGAAAGGAUACAAAAGUGUUUAAUAUAUUCUUGAAUCUCUGGGGUGUUAAGUGUUGUAAAAGUGAGAAAGAGUCCUCCCCUCCAUCUCUUAGCUUUGUAAACAUCCAAGAAAGAAGAGUGAGGCUUGUAAGGGUUAUCUCCUAAACUCGACAAAAGGAAAAAAGAGCUAUAAAUGGUGGUUGGUCUUCGCCUAUUGAAAAUGCUAUUAAUAGACGCCGGUGACCUUGACGGAUGAGGAAUCGGAAGUGGACAUAGGUCACAACGACCGAACCACUCUAAAUUCUAGUUUGUUAAUUUAUUUGUGCAAUUUACAUUACUGCAAACUUCCUUAACCUUCUCUUUGCACUCUUACGAAAGCUUUCAAAUUUAAUAUCUUUCUGAAACAGAUUGAAUCGAAACGAAUAUUUUUCGGAAUCAAUGAUUUCUUUCGCUGCACUAAUUCCCCCCCCCCUAGACAUUUUGACUUGUCACCACCUGAAUAAACUGUCUAUAUCUUUUUGUUGAUGACAUUUUUGUUGAUGACAAAGGGGGAGAAGUCGAUGAAAUCUCUUCUAUUGUGUUUACUUUGAUGUUAUAAUCUUAUGUUGCUAACCUUGAUAUUGAAAUUUUGUGCUGAAAAUUUCUAUGUUAUUGUGAUCUCUUCAAUGCUGAAAAUUUAUGUGAUGUUAUGAUUUCUUUACCUUACAAAUGAUGCAAUAUCAUAUUCUUAAUAUUGUGAACUUUUGAAUGCCACAAUACAAUAAUUAUGAUAUUUCAUGCAAGUAGUGAUGAAAGGCUAUGCCGAAACAUUUUAUCAUGCAUGAAGUGAUUGUAUAUUUAAUAUCUUGUUGACUUGAUAUUACGGUGAUGCACAAUGCAUGUGAUUUCUAAUUUCGAUCAAAACUUGAAUUCAAGGAUUCAAGUUUGUAUGGCAUAUAGAUAGGAGAGUUACACAUUCACCAAUUGGUUAUCAUCAUAAAAAAAGGGAAGAUUGUUGAAUCUCGGAUUUUGAUGAUAAAAUCAAUUGGUAAAUUGUUUGACCUAAUCUAUGUGUUGAGAUAAGUGUACAGGAUUAGCUACGAUAGCAAUAAGGCAUAAAGCUGAUGAUGGGUCGGAGUCGAAGAUUCGGACGAUGUACCGGGAGCUUGCCGAGAGCUCAUCUAAAGAUCGUCGAGAGUUCAUCAGAAGAUCGUCGAGAGUUCGUAUGAAGAUCACCAAGAUUUCGUCGGGAGUUCGCCGAAAGCAUGCCGGAAGACUCGCCGAGAAGUUCAUUGGACGAUCGCCGAGAGAAAAAUCGACAUAAUGGACUAAUUGCUUGCCUUAAUCGUAGUUAGAAUAUUAAUUGAGUUAGGAUUGGGAGGCGAUCCCACUAACUUAGUUAGGGGCCAACUAGGCUCUUAACAGGGCUGAAUUGGGCUGGAUUAGACAGCCCAUUCCGUACUUGAAACCACGGCCGACGAUGGCAUCGCUUGGUGACCCAGUCUCCCAAGUGGUCUGGGCGGUGGUACCAUCAACAGUUAAUGUAGUCAGGCGGUGGUACCGCCAAUACCUCGAAAUCCAGGGAUGUGAUACUUUUUGUCUCCAAUUUUAAAGUAAGGGUCUAUAAAUACCCUACCCUUUUCUGCAUGAAAGGGCACAAAAGUAUUUAACAUAUUCUUGAAUCUCUAUGGUGUUAAGUGUUGUAAAAGUGAGAAAGAGUCCUCCCCUCCCUCUCUUAGCUUUGUAAACAUCCGAGAAAGAGGAGUGAGGCUUGUAAGGGUUAUCUCCUAAACUCGGUAAAAGAAAAAAGAGCUAUAAAAGGUAGUUGAACACCGAUAACCUCGACGGAUGAGGAAUCGGAAGUGGACGUAGGUCACAACGACCGAACCACUCUAAAUUCUAGUUUAUUUUUCUAUUUGUGCAAUUUACAUUACUGCAAACUUCCUUAACCUUCUUUUUGCACUCCUACAAAAGCUUUUAAGUUCAAUAUCUUUCUGAAACGGAUUGAAUCGAAACGAAUAUUUUUCGGAAUCAAUGAUUUCUUUCGCUGCACUAAUUCNNNNNNNNNNNNNNNNNNNNUUACUGCAAACUUCCUUAACCUUCUUUUUGCACUCCUACAAAAGCUUUUAAGUUCAAUAUCUUCUGAAACGGAUUGAAUCGAAACGAAUAUUUUUCGGAAUCAAUGAUUCUUUCGCUGCACUAAUUCCCCCCCCCCCCCCCCCUCUCCCCCUAGACAUUUUGACUUAUCACCACCUGAAUAAACUGUCUAUGUCUUUUUGCUGAUGACAAAGGGGGAGAAGUAGACGAAAUCUCUUCAAUUGUGUUUACUUUGAUGUUAUAAUCUUAUGUUGCUUACCUUGAUAUUGAAAUUUUAUGCUGAAAAUUUCUAUGUUAUUGUGAUCUUUUCAAUGCUGAAAAUUUCUGUGAUGUUAUGAUUUCUUUACCAUAAAAAUGAUGCAAUAUCAUAUUAUUAAUAUUGUGAACUUUUGAAUGUCAUAAUACAAUAAUGAUGAUAUUUCAUGCAAGUAGUGAUGAAAGGCUAUGCCGAAACAUUUUAUCAUGCAUGAAGUGAUUGUGAAUUUAAUAUCUUGAUGACUUGAUAUUAUGGUGAUGCACAAUGCAUGUGAUUUCUAAUUUCGAUCAAAGCUUGAAUUAAAGGUUGUGAAUUUAAAUUUGUAUGGCAUAUAGAUAUUGGGAGUUAAGAGUAACACCUUCACCACAAUUGGUUAUCAUCAUAAAAGAAGGGGAGAUUGUUGAAUCUCAAAUUUUGAUGAUGAAAUCAAUUGGUAAAUUGUUUGAUCUAAUCUAUGUGUUGAGAUAAGUGUGCAGGAUUAACUACGAUAGCAGUAAGGCAUAAAGCUGAUGAUGGGCCAGAGUCGAAGAUUCGGAUGAUGUACCAAUUGAUUUACCGGAGAGCUCAUCUGAAGAUCACCGAGAGUUCGUCGGAAGAUCGUCGAGAGUUCGUCGGAAGAUCGCCAAGAGUUCAUCGGGAGUUCGCCGGAAGCAUGUCGGAAGACUCGCCGAGAAGUUCGUUGGAGGAUCGCCGAGAGAAAAAUCGACAUAACGGACUAAUUGCUUGCCUUAAUCAUAGUUAGAAUAUUAAUUGAGUUAGGAUUGGGAGGUGAUCCCACUAACUC
RNAcentral lists this long non-coding RNA (3696 nucleotides) under Musa acuminata (dwarf banana). RNAcentral's name for it is "long non-coding RNA (MACU_LNC002469)". Lineage: Eukaryota; Viridiplantae; Streptophyta; Magnoliopsida; Zingiberales; Musaceae. The record is from RNAcentral.